AUGUUGUCAAUGGGAAAAGUUUUGGUUGAUAUCAAGAAGAGCGGUUCCAAGGAGAUAACUUUUGAACAGAGAAGAGAUCUGAUCAGCUCUAUGGUGAAAUGGGCUAGAGCUAUCGGCCUAUUCGUGAAGGCGGCCUCUGAGCGUAAAGGAAAAUCUAUUGAUCUAGCACCUUUUGGAAUUGAUUAUGAAAACAAUGUCGGAAAUGGAAAAGGUAACUUUAGAACCGGCCCUGUUCUCAUAGACGACGGCAGCGAGCUCUAAUCUUCCAACGAAAAAGGCUCCCAAGUAAACAAGAAAUAUGUAACAAUAUAUGGAGACAGCCCUGCUUUGUUAAACAGCAGCGUGCUGUAGAACAUUUUUGGUUAUUGUAAAAACUAUAUUAAUCAUAUUACUAAAAUAAAAUUAUUACAAAUCUUAACUCGUUAAACAGAAGCUUUACC
RNAcentral lists this small RNA (440 nucleotides) under Arabidopsis thaliana (thale cress). Its description in RNAcentral is "ATSL304190". Lineage: Eukaryota; Viridiplantae; Streptophyta; Magnoliopsida; Brassicales; Brassicaceae. The record is from RNAcentral.